UAUACUUUGUAUACGUGGUAGGGGAGCGUUCUGUAAGCCGAUGAAGGUGUGUUGAGAAGCAUGCUGGAGGUAUCAGAAGUGCGAAUGCUGACGUGAGUAACGACAAAACGGGUGAAAAACCCGUUCGCCGAAAGACCAAGGGUUCCAGUCCAACGUUAAUCGGGGCUGGGUGAGUCGACCCCUAAGGCGAGGCCGAAAGGCGUAGUCGAUGGGAAAAUGGUUAAUAUUCCAUUACUUCUGUGUAAUGCGAUGAGAGGACGGAGAAGGCUAAAUCAGCCUGGCGUUGGUUGUCCAGGUGAAAGGAUGUAGGCAUGUAUCUUAGGCAAAUCCGGGGUACUCUAUGCUGAGAUCUGAUAGCAAGCUGUACUUGUACAGCGAAGUGGUUGAUGCCAUGCUUCCAGGAAAAGUCUCUAAGCUUCAGUUACACAGGAAUCGUACCCGAAACCGACACAGGUGGUCAGGUCGAGUAGACCAAGGCGCUUGAGAGAACUCUGCUGAAGGAACUAGGCAAAAUGGUACCGUAACUUCGGGAGAAGGUACGCUGUUGUUGGUGAUGGAACUCGCUUCCUGAGCUGACGACAGCCGCAGAAACCAGGCCGCUGCAACUGUUUAUUAAAAACAUAGCACUCUGCAAACACGAAAGUGGACGUAUAGGGUGUGAUGCCUGCCCGGUGCUGGAAGGUUAAUUGAUGGGGUUAGCGUAAGCGAAGCUCUUGAUCGAAGCCCCAGUAAACGGCGGCCGUAACUAUAACGGUCCUAAGGUAGCGAAAUUCCUUGUCGGGUAAGUUCCGACCUGCACGAAUGGCAUAAUGAUGGCGGCGCUGUCUCCAGCAGAGGCUCAGUGAAAUCGAAAUCGCUGUGAAGAUGCAGUGUACCCGCGGCUAGACGGAAAGACCCCGUGAACCUUUACUGCAGCUUGACACUGAACUUUGACCUUACUUGUGUAGGAUAGGUGGGAGGCUUUGAAGCUGGAACGCUAGUUCCAGUGGAGCCGUCCUUGAAAUACCACCCUGGUAAUGUUGAGGUUCUAACUCUGUCCCGUGAUCCGGGACGAGGACCGUGUCUGGUGGGUAGUUUGACUGGGGCGGUCUCCUCCUAAAGAGUAACGGAGGAGUACGAAGGUGCGCUCAGCGUGGUCGGAAAUCACGCGUAGAGUAUAAAGGCAAAAGCGCGCUUAACUGCGAGACCCACAAGUCGAGCAGGUACGAAAGUAGGUCUUAGUGAUCCGGUGGUUCUGUAUGGAAGGGCCAUCGCUCAACGGAUAAAAGGUACUCUGGGGAUAACAGGCUGAUACCGCCCAAGAGUUCAUAUCGACGGCGGUGUUUGGCACCUCGAUGUCGGCUCAUCUCAUCCUGGGGCUGAAGCAGGUCCCAAGGGUAUGGCUGUUCGCCAUUUAAAGAGGUACGCGAGCUGGGUUUAGAACGUCGUGAGACAGUUCGGUCCCUAUCUACCGUGGGCGCUGGAAAUUUGAGAGGAUCUGCUCCUAGUACGAGAGGACCAGAGUGGACGAACCUCUGGUGUACCGGUUGUGACGCCAGUCGCAUCGCCGGGUAGCUAUGUUCGGAAGGGAUAACCGCUGAAAGCAUCUAAGCGGGAAGCCUACCUCAAGAUAAGAUUUCCCUAGGACUUUAUGUCCUCUAAAGAGCCGUUCGAGACUAGGACGUUGAUAGGUUGGAUGUGGAAGCAUAGUGAUAUGUGAAGCUGACCAAUACUAAUUGCUCGUGAGGCUUGACUAUACAACACCCAAGCAGUUG
RNAcentral lists this ribosomal RNA (1754 nucleotides) under Acinetobacter baumannii. Its description in RNAcentral is "partial 23S ribosomal RNA". It matches the Rfam family "Bacterial large subunit ribosomal RNA", at positions 1209 to 2925 of the family's 2925-position model. The record is from RNAcentral. Lineage: Bacteria; Pseudomonadati; Pseudomonadota; Gammaproteobacteria; Moraxellales; Moraxellaceae.